This 253-nucleotide ribosomal RNA is filed under the name uncultured bacterium. Its description in RNAcentral is "partial 16S ribosomal RNA". It matches the Rfam family "Bacterial small subunit ribosomal RNA", at positions 524 to 776 of the family's 1533-position model. The record is from RNAcentral.
UACGUAGGGUGCAAGCGUUAAUCGGAAUUACUGGGCGUAAAGCGUGCGCAGGCGGUUUUGUAAGUUUGUCGUGAAAUCCCCGGGCUCAACCUGGGAAUUGCGAUGGAGACUGCAAGGCUAGAAUCUGGCAGAGGGGGGUAGAAUUCCACGUGUAGCAGUGAAAUGGGUAGAGAUGUGGAGGAACACCGAUGGCGAAGGCAGCCCCCUGGGUCAAGAUUGACGCUCAUGCACGAAAGCGUGGGGAGCAAACAGG